UCCAAUCCAGCUGUUUAUUUCAUUAUGUCCAGCCCCACCCUUUACAAAGAUUCUGGCAUUUCUUUCCACUUCAGACGUGAUUCUCAGGACAAAAAAGAAGAAAAGGCACAAUGCUAAGGGGAAUGGUCAUCGCUCUGUGCCUACUUUUCAUCCCUAUCGAUGCAGCGUUAACCAGAGAGCAAGGAAACUAUGGCUAUUUUGAUAUUUGCAGCAUCAACGUCACCACUGCCAGGUUGAAUUGUUAUUAUGCAGCAUGCGAUCCCUCCCCAACCUUCAGCUGUGAACUCUUCUCGAAUGGGAAUUUCCUUGGAAAAGCAACUGACAAAUCUUGUGAAUAUUUCACUGUCCCACGGCCAGCUACUAAAACGACUUACACCUGUAUAUUAGAAA
Long non-coding RNA from Cyprinodon tularosa, 390 nucleotides. RefSeq lists it as uncharacterized. NCBI's taxonomy places the organism in Eukaryota, Metazoa, Chordata, Actinopteri, Cyprinodontiformes, Cyprinodontidae. The transcript has 4 exons. The record is from RefSeq and is a predicted model, not a curated record.